This 228-nucleotide ribosomal RNA is filed under the name uncultured bacterium. RNAcentral describes it as "partial 16S ribosomal RNA". It matches the Rfam family "Bacterial small subunit ribosomal RNA", at positions 103 to 334 of the family's 1533-position model. The record is from RNAcentral.
CGGGUGAGUAAUGUAUGGGGAUCUGCCUGAUGGCGGGGGAUAACUACUGGAAACGGUAGCUAAUACCGCAUAAUGUCUGCGGACCAAAGCGGGGGACCUCCGGGCCUCGCGCCAUCAGAUGAACCCAUAUGGGAUUAGCUUGUAGGUAAGGUAACGGCUUACCUAGGCGACGAUCCUUAGCUGGUCUGAGAGGAUGAUCAGCCACACUGGGACUGAGACACGGCCCAG